This 102-nucleotide ribosomal RNA is filed under the name Staphylococcus coagulans. RNAcentral describes it as "partial 16S ribosomal RNA". It matches the Rfam family "Bacterial small subunit ribosomal RNA", at positions 1 to 97 of the family's 1533-position model. Lineage: Bacteria; Bacillati; Bacillota; Bacilli; Caryophanales; Staphylococcaceae. The record is from RNAcentral.
UUUAUGGAGAGUUUGAUCCUGGCUCAGGAUGAACGCUGGCGGCGUGCCUAAUACAUGCAAGUCGAGCGAACGGACAAGGAGCUUGCUCCUUUGAAGUUAGCG